CAAUAGCGUAUAUUAAAGUUGUUGCAGUUAAAAAGCUCGUAGUCGGAUUUUGGCAUCACGCCGAACUGUCUGCCGAUUGGUAAGUACGGUUUGGCGGGUGCUUCCUUCCGGAGGCUCGUUCCCUUCUUCAUUGAAGGGUUCGUUGGUUCCGGGUCUUUUACUUUGAGAAAAUUAGAGUGUUCAAAGCAGGCCAACGCAUUGAAUACAUUAGCAUGGAAUAAUGGAAUAGGACUUUGGUCUUAUUUUGUUGGUUUCUAAGGCCGAGGUAAUGAUUAAUAGGGAUAGUUGGGGGUAUUCGUAUUUAAUUGUCAGAGGUGAAAUUCUUGGAUUUAUGAAAGACGAACUACUGCGAAAGCAUUUACCAAAGAUGUUUUCAUUAAUCAAGAACGAAAGUUAGGGGAUCGAAGAUGAUCAGAUACCAU
RNAcentral lists this ribosomal RNA (422 nucleotides) under uncultured eukaryote. Its description in RNAcentral is "bacterial SSU rRNA". It matches the Rfam family "Eukaryotic small subunit ribosomal RNA", at positions 592 to 1018 of the family's 1831-position model. The record is from RNAcentral.